CAGCUCAAGGUAAAACAACAACAGCAGUGAUUUCAGUCCACAUCACAAACUCUCAGGAUCAUGAAACUACAAAAUCACCAGAAACUACAGAUCAAGUGACAGUGAUUUCUGUUUCUGUCGCUGCAUUUGUUGUUUUUCUUCUUGUUGUUCUCUGGCUGAUCUGCAGAAAAAGAGCUGAUAAUAAAAUGGGGACUUAUGAAUCAGUGGUCAAAGGUGAGAAUGAAGAUAAAGUGACGUAUGAAACAAUCAACAUGUCCAUUCCUGCUGCUGCUAGAGACAAUGAGCAGACAGAUGAUGUGACUUAUUCUGAAGUCUCUUCUUCCAGUAAAAAGCCAGUAAAAUCACUCAAUGAUCAUAAUGAUACAGUGACUUACGCUGCCAUCAGAUGAACAGAAAAUGAGCCGCGGGAUGAACUUUACACCUCUGUGAACAAGAACAAGAACAAAUAAACAUUAAUGACACAGAUCACUGCUGGAGCUCAUCAUAUCAGCAGCAGACGGGACGUUUCUCCAGACGCUAAUAUUCACAACUCUGGUGUUUGGAAGAAUUAGAUAUUUGUGUGAACAAACAAAACAAUAUAUGGUCUUCUCCAGGUAAUAAUUAAAGUAUAUUAAUGAUACCGUGGUAAAUGACAGCAUUAAUUACAGUACAGAAACGAUAAAUUAUAUUUUCUGCCUUAUUCUGUGAUAGAAAUGGAAAAAGUGUUUGUUUUAGCAUAAAUUAUUAUACUGAUUAUACAAUCAUAACCAUAAAAUUGUCAUUAGUAAAAUAUAGAACAAAAAUACUAUAGAAGACAAAUUAUUGUUUUGUCCAGCAGUGUAUUUUAUUUCUUAGCCAAUUCAAAGUAAGAGAUAAGAAAAUUUUG
Molecule: long non-coding RNA, 865 nt
Organism: Labeo rohita (rohu)
Lineage: Eukaryota; Metazoa; Chordata; Actinopteri; Cypriniformes; Cyprinidae
Exons: 6
Source: RefSeq, a predicted model, not a curated record